ACGUGGCGGCUCGGAAAGACAGCGUGCUGGCCGGACUGGCGACAGCAAGGCGUUCGCCUACAUACCAAGCGGCGGGUUGCUGGAGUCGAUGAUGAGCUUCAAAGCCAUGCCACGCAGCUAUACCGCUUCGGCGCUCCGCCCUCGAAAUGCGGCCCCACCGACAACACAGGCCAGACGCAUAAAGGUUCCGGGAGAUCAACCACAUUUCGGCGUCCUUGGAUCAGAUCACCGAUCUCACAGCUGUAAAUACACGGUUGGCUCUGCAUUCGAGUAUUUCUCGUAUUUGUCUUACAUUUGAACUAUACUGUAAACAUGAUUAGACAAGAAACUAACUCAAGUGUUAAUAUCCCAAUAAAUACUUUAUUUGACUAAAAGUCAGUUUUAAAGCAUUCCAGCAGUAUUUACAUUUAGAUUUUUUAAUUUUUUUUAAAUUGCCUUUGGUUAAAAGCUCAUAGAAAGCAAAUAAAUCAACAACAAUAGGUGUUACGCGAGACAUGACCCGUUUAUUUGAUUUUUUACGGUAAAUAAUUGACCCCAGAAUCUCUUCCAGCUGGUUCUUGAAGGAAACCAGAGUACCGGCUUCAACAACAUGACUGGACAGCUUCUUCCACACUCCCACCACUCUUUGUGUAAAGAAGUGCCUCUGUUCUCGGUUAAAAUGCACUUCCUCACAGUUUCCACUUGUGUCUGCUGAGUCAUGUUUCACUGUUGGUUCUGGAGAAAUCCUCUGGGUUGACUUUGUCAGUGUGUCACAGUCUUCUCUGUUCAAGACUAAAGAGACUCAGUUCCUUCAGCCUGUCAGUGUAGGACAGUCCCUUAAUGCUUGUAUCAGGUCUCCUCACAGUAUUCUCUGUUCAAGA
This 860-nucleotide long non-coding RNA is filed under the name Lepisosteus oculatus (spotted gar). RNAcentral describes it as "lncRNA (ENSLOCG00000022232.1)". Lineage: Eukaryota; Metazoa; Chordata; Actinopteri; Semionotiformes; Lepisosteidae. The record is from RNAcentral.